AGACACUUGGGGUCUGGACGCAACGGAGGCGGGAGCGUGAACGCCCCUCCAGCCUUCGAGUCGUUCUUGCUCUUCGAGGGCGAGAAGAAGAUCACCAUUAACAAGGACACCAAGGUACCCAAUGCCUGUUUAUUCACCAUCAACAAAGAAGACCACACACUGGGAAACAUCAUUAAAUCACGUGCCUGCUUCCCCUUCGCCUUCUGCCGUGAUUGUCAGUUUCCUGAGGCCUCCCCAGCCACGCUUUCUGUACAGCCUGCAGAACUCUGCCCCAGAGCACAUCAGCUAUGUGCCCCAGCUCUCAAACGACACCCUGGCGGGGAGGCUCACCCUGUCCACCUUCACGCUGGAGCAGCCUCUAGGCCAGUUCAGCAGCCACAACAUCUCUGACUUGGAUACCAUCUGGCUGGUGGUGGCCCUCAGCAACGCCACCCAGAGCUUCACGGCCCCACGGACAAACCAGGACAUCCCUGCUCCUGCCAACUUCUCCCAGAGGGGCUACUAUCUCACACUGAGGGCCAACCGGGUGCUGUACCAGGCCAGAGGCCAGCUCCAUGUCCUCCGUGUUGGCAAUGAUACCCACUGCCAACCAACAAAAAUUGGCUGCAACCAUCCCCUACCAGGACCGAGCCCCUACAGGGUGAAGUUCCUGGUGAUGAAUGACAAAGGACCCGUGGCUGAAACAAAGUGGUCCAGCAACACUCGCCUGCAGCAAGGACAGCCACAGUGUGGAAGACCCUGUGCCCCUUCUGGGGUGAGGAGUACCAAGUGCACCUGCCGCCCACCUUCCACGCUGUGGCUUUCUACGUCAUGGAUGAGGAUGCCCUCAGCCGGGACGACGUUAUCGGAAAGGUCUGCCUUACAAGGGACACCAUAGCUUCUCACCCUAAGGAUCAUGAAGAAGUCAUGCUACCCACGCUGGAAUGAGACGUUUGAAUUUGAGCUGCA
Molecule: long non-coding RNA, 948 nt
Filed under: Homo sapiens (human)
Lineage: Eukaryota; Metazoa; Chordata; Mammalia; Primates; Hominidae
Description: non-protein coding lnc-URGCP-2:9
Source: RNAcentral